GGAAACUAAUUGUUCUUAAUUACCCUAAUCAUCUUAAGUUAGGGUAAAUAACCUAACUAUAAGGUUUCCCCAAUUCCUUCGCCCUACUUCUCGCCCAUACAUCGCCGUCCUCUUUCUCGCCAUCUCCACCAAAUCGACGACGAAGCAUUCUGGCAGACCUUGAGCUCCGGCUGGGCGCCACCACACGUGGGCGAGUUGCUGGAGACGGCGUGAGCAGACGCAGAGCUUGCGACGGUCUUUACGGAGGCGCAAUAAUCUUGGGUGAGAGCUUCCGAUGAUUGUGCGAGAAGAAAGGAAAGUACUUACCCUUAUGGUUUGGCAAGAUCUGUAAGACUCGUCACAUUUAUAUUACAGGUGAGGAUGACUUCCAGGAUAUACCGGAAGGCCCACGGACAGAGUAGACGAGGAGGCAGGAUGGAUGCAUGGUACUGUCCGUUGUCCGGGAGUGCAGAGCAUACUGGAUUCCCUGCGAGAGUUAUUUUCAUUUCUUUGUCAUUUGGGUGGGGAAUGUUUGAGGAUUUUAUGUUCAUAUCGAUAAACAUAUAUUGAUACGGUCAUGUCCAUGAGUUAUGAUAAUUUCUUUGUUGGUACUGCAUUACGAUCA
Molecule: long non-coding RNA, 604 nt
Organism: Zingiber officinale
Lineage: Eukaryota; Viridiplantae; Streptophyta; Magnoliopsida; Zingiberales; Zingiberaceae
Exons: 2
Source: RefSeq, a predicted model, not a curated record